GUGCCAGCCGCCGCGGUAAUACCGGCAGCCCGAGUGAUGGCCGAUCUUAUUGGGCCUAAAGCGUCCGUAGCCGGCCGGACAAGUCCGUUGGGAAAUCCACGCGCUCAACGCGUGGGCGUCCAGCGGAGACUGUCCGGCUUGGGGCCGGAAGGUCCGAGGGGUACGUUCGGGGUAGGAGUGAAAUCCCAUAAUCCCGCACGGACCACCGAUGGCGAAAGCACUUCGAGAAAACGGAUCCGACAGUGAGGGACGAAAGCCAGGGUCUCCAACCGGAUUAGAUACCCGAGUAGUCC
Molecule: ribosomal RNA, 293 nt
Filed under: uncultured bacterium
Lineage: Bacteria
Description: partial 16S ribosomal RNA
Rfam family: Archaeal small subunit ribosomal RNA
Source: RNAcentral